Molecule: transfer RNA, 69 nt
Filed under: Amphinemura longispina
Lineage: Eukaryota; Metazoa; Arthropoda; Insecta; Plecoptera; Nemouridae
Description: tRNA-Ser
Source: RNAcentral
GGAAAUGAGAGGCUCAAGAAGAAGCUGCUAACUUUUCUCUUUAACGGUUAAACUCCGUUUGCAUUUCUA